Molecule: microRNA precursor, 135 nt
Organism: Gossypium arboreum
Lineage: Eukaryota; Viridiplantae; Streptophyta; Magnoliopsida; Malvales; Malvaceae
Rfam family: MIR7502 microRNA precursor family
Source: Rfam
CGUUAAAAAAUUAUCUAUUUUUACUGUUAAAAACUGUCGGAGUUGACGAAACAACCAAACACGUAUGCCACAUAUACCUCAUGCUAAUAUAUAUGGAUCAAUUUUUAACAAUAAAAAUGGAUAAAUUUGUUAACA